UCAAAAUAAAAUCCAUCCUCCCGAAGCACGAGCUCUGACUCUGUCCGCGAGGAAAAACAUAUCCGUCCGUGACAGCACUAUAAUACCGUCCACAAAAACCAAGAACAUCUUUCUUUCCUCUCUCCCUCUUGCUUCAUCUCGUUGGCAAAUGUCUAGAAAGCCCCGACUCCACUCACGGAAAGUGGGGUGACGCGCGCAAUCGUUGUAUGGCCAGACCGGGGCUCCGGUUUUUUCUUCGUGCCAUAACACUGUAUUAUGCGCCCUGCUCACGUGACACAACGUCAACUUAAAUCGCUUUUAUUUGAGCCUGUGAAUCAUUAAUGGAGGCAGUCAUUGCCCCUGAGGAGAAACGGAUCACUUUGGAGGGAGGAUAAAGAGGGUGGAUGACACUGCAAUGUAUCUGGCAAAGGGACAUAUAUCUCGCAAUGCCACUCUACAUUCACACAACUCGUCCGAUUCCAAAGCGUGUGUGUUCGGUCGGUUUUGAAGGCUUUCGAGUGGCGCAGAGGUUUAAGGCACUGCAACUCAGUGCUAGAAGUUUCACUACAGACUAUGGUUCGAUCCCGGGCUGUCUCACAACCGGCCGUGAUCGGGAGUCUCAAGGAGCGGCGCACAAUUGCCCCAGCGUCGUCCGGGUUAUGGAGGGUUUGACCGGGAUAGGCCAUCAUGUUCGGCCAGAUUUGCAUACCACUCCACCAGCCCCGAGAGCACGUGCAUUGCAACACCGGAGAGCGUCUGGGGCUGAGCUGACUGUGGACGGAAAACAGACCCUUUCUCCCACGCCACCUUUCGCCACCGCGCCUGAACUUUUCCCUGACCCAAACCGAGGCGCGGAGAGUUGAGUGUGAACAUAUUUUGGUUGAAAAACAAGGAGUAGACGGAGACUACAUAACCAAUAAGAGCUAUACCUUCCUUUUCAGCUGGGAACGUUUUGGAUCCUUGUUUUUAACGGGCUCUUGUUGGUUUCAGCAGUUGAUUAGCCUAUUUCUUGGUUUGUAUGUAUACAUAUAUUAAAAUUAGUAACAUAAAGCUGGUAACCUAAAUCCAACUUCCAACAUUUACCAGCCUUGAGCCGUAGACUUGAGCCGUAGACAGUCCUCUCCACACCGCUCCGUCAUUGGAUGUUCGCCAGACUGCGGUGCAUCUCUCCACAAUGUUGACAUUUGAAGCUCUUAACAGCGAGCCUUGGGUUACCGAUACACUCAGCAGAAUAUAACUCUUUCUCUGAGGUUUACAUCGGCCAACAUCAAGGCUAAUGCGAAAUUCAACGCCCUAAACUGGUUUGGCGUGCAUGCUAAAACAGAGAAGCCUCGGUGGAUCUCGCUAUACUCUCCAUAACGGACUGACUUCUGUUGUGGUGGUUUGUUUCAGUAUGUGCUGUAGAAAUAAAAUUGUAGUGGUAAUAA
Long non-coding RNA from Salvelinus namaycush (lake trout), 1406 nucleotides. RefSeq lists it as uncharacterized. The record is from RefSeq and is a predicted model, not a curated record. NCBI's taxonomy places the organism in Eukaryota, Metazoa, Chordata, Actinopteri, Salmoniformes, Salmonidae. The transcript is spliced from 2 exons.